GAUGAACGCUAGCUACAGGCUUAACACAUGCAAGUCGAGGGGCAGCAUGGUCUUAGCUUGCUAAGGCCGAUGGCGACCGGCGCACGGGUGAGUAACACGUAUCCAACCUGCCGUCUACUCUUGGACAGCCUUCUGAAAGGAAGAUUAAUACAAGAUGGCAUCAUGAGUCCACAUGUUCACAUGAUUAAAGGUAUUCCGGUAGACGAUGGGGAUGCGUUCCAUUAGAUAGUAGGCGGGGUAACGGCCCACCUAGUCUUCGAUGGAUAGGGGUUCUGAGAGGAAGGUCCCCCACAUUGGAACUGAGACACGGUCCAAACUCCUACGGGAGGCAGCAGUGAGGAAUAUUGGUCAAUGGGCGAGAGCCUGAACCAGCCAAGUAGCGUGAAGGAUGACUGCCCUAUGGGUUGUAAACUUCUUUUAUAAAGGAAUAAAGUCGGGUAUGCAUACCCGUUUGCAUGUACUUUAUGAAUAAGGAUCGGCUAACUCCGUGCCAGCAGCCGCGAUAA
RNAcentral lists this ribosomal RNA (506 nucleotides) under uncultured bacterium. RNAcentral's name for it is "partial 16S ribosomal RNA". It matches the Rfam family "Bacterial small subunit ribosomal RNA", at positions 28 to 523 of the family's 1533-position model. The record is from RNAcentral.